Cyanidioschyzon merolae strain 10D is the source of this 2728-nucleotide RNA transcript. RefSeq lists it as hypothetical. Lineage: Eukaryota; Rhodophyta; Bangiophyceae; Cyanidiales; Cyanidiaceae. The record is from RefSeq and is a predicted model, not a curated record. The transcript has a single exon.
GUGCGCUGCAGGCUCCUAUCCGAGGUGUGCGUGCGUGCGUGCGUGCGUGCCUAUAUACAGGGACACGUGUCCCGUAGAGGCAUACGUGUCCGAAUGGCGAUUCUUCGAAGCGUCACGCAUGCGGCAAUAGCGGGUGCGUUUCGCCUCUGAGAACGUUCCGCUACGUCUCCCAGCGUACUUGUCAGUGCAGCGUAUACCUCGUGCGUCUUCGAUAUUCAGAACUGCACGCAUACGCAUGCGUCGUCGUGCGCACAGAACCUGCACGUCGACGGAAACAAAAUGCAUAGGAUGGAAUGCCCUGCUCACGGUCGCUUUGAUGGGCUGUCUUCGGGCCACCAGGCGUCAUCAGCAGCAGAGCGAUCUCAUGGUCAUCGGGCGGGUGCUGUAGGCAUGCACUCGAGCAACCAGUACUGACCUGGUACCCGCGAUUGCCAGUCUCCCGAGCAUCUGCAAGCGCAUUAUACUACACGUGUCCUGGUCUGCGAUCUGCGCAGGUCGGGCCCCGGGUCCCAGAGCACGAGGUCGUGAGAUCAAUGCACUCGCUCACGGAAGCUUCAGAAAAUGAUGGAUAGCGGCUUGAACAUGUUUGGGGAAACCGCGCGAAACAGCAAGAGAUGCCCGGCGAGCACAUAUACGCAGAACUGGACGAGAGCAUUCCUGAUUCGCAAGGGCAUCCCUAGGGGUGCGCGCACACCGUCCCGUACCACGCGCUGGGGCUUGCCGGUCUCGAGGACGCAUCCUGCCCGCUAGACCUCUGAGCUGGGGUUCGUUGUCGUUGACGUUGCAGGGCACGCAACUGUACGAGCGGACUCCAAUUGUCUUGCAAGCUCUUCUAGCUGCUCAUGAAAGAUGCCCUUCAUAUCAGCGAUAUCUUCGCGCAGUUCCUGGACGAGCUCCUCUUUCUCCCCGAGCAGCUCGAGAAGGGCCUGCUCGCGUUCAUGCAUCCGCCGGAUUUCAUCGUCCAGACGCUUCACUUGGGCAGCCUGUGAUUCAAGUUUCUCGUUAAGUUGUGCCAUCUCGCUCGUCAAGUUCUGAAUAAUGUCUUCGCGUCGCAUAAGUUCCGUUUGGAGACUGCGAAUCACAUUCGCGCGGUGACGCAGGUGCGACUGAACUUCCGUCCACUGCACGAGGUUUGGUAGCGAGCCCGAAAGCAGCAACUCUCCAGCACUUACUGAAGAGCCAGGCGUACUGUGCCUUUCGUCCACUGCGUCCUCGGGCGCGGAAACGUUGUCAAGUGUUUCCCCUGCCACCAACGAGGCCGUUGGUGUGUCGCGAACUGUCUGCACUGCCGACGCUUCACCAGGUUGCAUUUGCGAUGCUGUCGGAACGGCUUCGCAGAGAGAGGGCGUCGUCAUCAGCUGCCUGCGUUCGAUUUGAAGCCUUCUCCGCAAGCCGCCCAAAGCGUGGGCGGUUUCUCGUGCCUCAGACUCAUAAGCACGCUGAAGCCGCAACCAGUCUUCUCGAAAAGUGAAGAGGGUCCUGCGUAGCUGAGCGCAACACGUGCGGAUCUGGCUGAGCACUUUUGCCGCAGCGACGCGCUGUUCGCGUAGCGUCGACCCCAAGGCGACAAAGUCACGGAGUUUCCAUUCGAGCUCGCGUGCACGUGUGUCGAGUCGCGUAUGCUCUUCGAGUAAUGCCGCUCGGGCUACAUUUGCUGCCUCCAGUUCUGCUCGGAUCUGGAGAACCUGCUGUUCGAGCCGCUCUUGGAUGGUCGCUUCGCCGGCACUACGCUGACGGAGUUGUUCGUGCAGUACCUGAAUUUGUCGCAUGAGUGGUUUCGUCGCCUCGGAGACGCUCCUGGAGAGCUCUUCAUUCUGUUGUUCCAACUCAGACACAUGCGCACGAGCUUGUGCGACUUCCUCGCGCCACUGACGCUCUCGCCGCCCCUGUUCCUGCUGUGUUCGCUCGAGGAGAGCCUUCACAUGUUCGAGCUGGGACUGCAGAACUUCGAGCCGAUCCCUGUACUCACUCUUGGCUAUUUCAAGCUGUUCCUGCGCUUUCAUGGCCAGACGCCUAGUCAGGCUUCGCAGCUCGGCCUCGUGUUCGUCGCGGAGCUCGUGAAGUCUAGUCUCUAGCGUCUGCAGCUCAGACCGCUGGACGUGUUCCUGCUCGCAAUGCUUUCGUUGCUCUUCUGCUUGUUUCAACUGCGCCAGUUGUGCCUGGAGACGAGCCUGGCAUUCCUGAACGCGCUCUUCCUCCUUUCGCAGCUGGAGUGCAGUGCUAUUCGCUCGGCUACGCUCCGAGUCGACAAGACGUUCGAGUUCACGUAUACGUUUUCUCUGGGCUUGUACUUGCUGAUCUCGUUCGUAAACGAGCUUGGAUAGACGCUGCGCUUCCUGAUAUAGCUCCUGUGCGUUCUCUGCGGCCUCCAAAGAAGGGCGUGGACUCGGGAGCCGCCCCGGUCCGACCUGCGAACCGUAGCUGCCCGCUCCAGAGUCACGCUCCUUUGCAUCAGUUCGCGGACUGUGGCCUUCUUCAGCACCGGUCGCAGCAAGAACGUGCGCUCUUGAAGCAUCAUCGGUCUCGCUGCGCAGCGUUUUCGAGUCGAACGAAGCGCCAGAAUCCUGCUCAUGGGACGCUUCCGGUGAACGUCCACGCACCUCUGCGGUUGCAGACAACGCGGGUUCCGUUAUCUCGGGCGCAGCAACGUCUUCCCAUUCCUCCUCGUCAGCAACUGCUCGUCGCAUCCAGCAGGUGGCCCAACGCUGAACUAGAACCAAUAAACUCU